Molecule: ribosomal RNA, 101 nt
Filed under: Acanthosepion pharaonis
Lineage: Eukaryota; Metazoa; Mollusca; Cephalopoda; Sepiida; Sepiidae
Source: RNAcentral
GGACUUAAACAACAGUUACCGUACUAUCAACGAAAUUAAGCAACGUUGAGCCUGGUCAGUACUUAGUUGGGUGACCGCUUGGGAAUACCAGGUGUUGUAAG